GACUACCGGGGUAUCUAAGCCUGUUUGCUACCCACGCUUUCGCUUCUCAGCGUCAGGAAAUGUCCAGAGAACCGCCUUCGCCACCGGUGUUCCUCCUGAUAUCUGCGCAUUCCACCGCUCCACCAAGAAUUCCGUUCUCCCCUACAUCCCUCAAGUCUGCCCGUAUCGAGAGCAGGCUCAGGGUUGAGCCCUGAGUUUUCACUUUCGACGCAAUAGACCGCCUACAAGCUCUUUACGCCCAAUAAUUCCGGACAACGCUCGCACCCUACGUAUCACCGCGGCUGCUGGCACGUAGUUGGCCGGUGCUUCUUCUGCAGGUACCGUCACGUGUUGCUUCGUCCCUGCUGAAAGCGGUUUACAACCCGAAGGCCGUCAUCCCGCACGCGGCGUUGCUGCGUCAGGCUUUCGCCCAUUGCGCAAUAUUCCCCACUGCUGCCGCCCGUAGG
This 446-nucleotide ribosomal RNA is filed under the name uncultured Propionibacteriaceae bacterium. RNAcentral's name for it is "partial 16S ribosomal RNA". The record is from RNAcentral. Lineage: Bacteria; Bacillati; Actinomycetota; Actinomycetes; Propionibacteriales; Propionibacteriaceae.